This 335-nucleotide unclassified non-coding RNA is filed under the name uncultured Agaricales. RNAcentral's name for it is "sequence contains 5.8S rRNA gene, ITS2, 28S rRNA gene". The stretch from base 1 to 52 matches the Rfam family "5.8S ribosomal RNA", at positions 103 to 154 of the family's 154-position model. Lineage: Eukaryota; Fungi; Basidiomycota; Agaricomycetes; Agaricales. The record is from RNAcentral.
AACGCACCUUGCGCUCCUUGGUAUUCCGAGGAGCAUGCCUGUUUGAGUGUCAUUGAAAUAUCAACCGUCUGGCCUCUGCUUGUCGACGGCUUGGAUGGUGGGAGUUGGUGCAGGCUUCUCUUUGUCUUUUAGAGAGAAUGUCAGCUCUCCUCAAAUGCAUUAGCGGAACCGGCAUGGGACCGUCUUUGGCGUGAUAAAUGAUUAUUAUUCCGCCGUGUGACCGUCUUUUACAACCAUGCGUGUCUUGGUUCAGCUUCUAAUGGUCCUUUGGUGGACAACACAAACAACACUUUUGACUUGACCUCAAAUCAGGCAGGACUACCCGCUGAACUUAA